UAACAUUUGCGGUGAAAUGCACUUUGGAUUCUUUUGAGUACCUAGUGUAUGAGAAGGUUGGAUAAAGACCACUUUGUUAAGCCGGGGCGAUGUUUUUCUGAAUGACCGCAGUUCAAAAUCGCCCCGGUUUCACAAU
Molecule: non-coding RNA, 136 nt
Filed under: Cronobacter sakazakii
Lineage: Bacteria; Pseudomonadati; Pseudomonadota; Gammaproteobacteria; Enterobacterales; Enterobacteriaceae
Also listed under: 1 other name
Description: RT-12 RNA
Rfam family: RT-12 RNA
About the family: Proteobacteria. Nearby to self-splicing intron genes
Source: RNAcentral